RNAcentral lists this long non-coding RNA (1810 nucleotides) under Callithrix jacchus (white-tufted-ear marmoset). RNAcentral describes it as "lncRNA (ENSCJAG00000081092.1)". The record is from RNAcentral. Lineage: Eukaryota; Metazoa; Chordata; Mammalia; Primates; Cebidae.
GAGGAUUGUUAUUAUAUUAGUGUACAUUUCUGAGGUUAUAGAUCAGUCCUUGAAGUGGCAUGGCACUAAGUAGGAUAGGUCGGGAUGAGAUUGUGUAUAGACUGCGGUUAGUAUUUAGAGUUAGUGUGUCAGGGUGUUACAAAAUCAGGAGAUAAGGGUUGAACGGUUCAGAGUUUACCAAUUAAAGAUUAUGGUAUAAGGGCUUCAAGAUAGGAGGUUCAGAUUGGUGGUUGGGAGCUGCAUAGUAGAGAUUAGAUGGAGAGAUCAGGUGAGUAACAGGGUUAGGUUGAGAGGUCAGGAUUGCAGUGAAGGGUUAGGGUGAAAGGGUUAGUGAGGUUUAGGCUUAGGGUUACGGUAAAGGUUAGAGUAAGUUUAGAUUACAGCUUGAAGACUAUGUUGAGUGAAUUUUUGCAUAACUUGUAAAACGUGCAUCAAUGUUCAUUUCAUUUCCAAUAGUUUCCAAUUAAUUGUCCCUUCUUUAUUUUUAGAAACACAUGGGCUAGUAGGCUUCGUGUUCUUUUGCAUUUCCAGAACGAUGUCGCUGAACACUUCGUCUUCUUACUUUAAGUGGUGCAGUGGGACAGCCACCAGGGGGUGCGUUUCCAUCGUCCGCACCGUGAGCAGCAAGUGCCUGCAGUGCCCCCAGCCGCCAGCAGAGGGCGCGCCAGCCAAGCUUUUCUAAUUCCAAGGCCCCAGCCUCCUGCCCAUUUCCUCUGCGCAGGCUCCUGCAAGGGCAGGACCGGGGUUCUCCUCACCACAGACCAGGGGUUGCCCCUCACUUUGGGACACCUCGAGGCUGCAUCCAAGAACACACACAUAUCACCCGGAACAACUGUGACACCAUCAGACUCAGAGCUCUUUUAUAACUUGGAGCACACAGGUGACGUUUUCAGACUAACCCAACACCCGUCACACUCAUAUAAUCCCUGGAACACGUGUAUGUCCCUCAGAACACGUAAUGGCGAGAACUACUAUAACACCAUAAGACUAAUGCAACCCCUGUCACACAACCCCUAGAACACGCAUGUGUCCCUCAGGGAGCACAUAUCACCCAGAACUCCCCUAACACUGUCAGACUAACGCAACAACCAUCACACGUAUAUAACCCCUGGAAUACGCAUGUGUCCCUUGUAACACAAAUAUCACUUGGGAUGUGGACGUGGCCUUUGGAGCAUCUGCAGCACCAAGGAUGGGACCCUUCUCUUGCUGAGGUGCUGGGUUCAUAGCCUAUGCUGGGCUGGGUUUGGGCUGGAUUUGGCGUCUGUUACGAAGUAUGAUAUUGUUGUUUUUGCCUUUCUUAUGUGGUAUUGAUAGGGUCGUUUAAAAAGUAGUUGACUUCCCAGUAAUGUCAUCCUUCUGGGAAACUUGGACUUGCAGUUAGUAUGCCUUUUCCUUUCGCUCCGAUUCCCCAGCAGUUAUUGCCAUGCAAGAUGUGCAGCUUAACAGAAAACACCCCAGUGUAUUUCACCAAAAGUAGAAACACUCCUCCAGGUGACCUCUACGUAACCUUCAAAUCAGAAAAUACACGGCUCCUCUUUCAUUUCCUUUUUUUUUUGGAGAUGGAGUGCUGAUCUGUUGCCAGGCUGGAUUGUAGUGGUGUGAUGUCAGCUCACUGCAGUCUCCACCUCCUGGGUUCAAGGGAUUCUCCCAUCUCAGCCUCCUGAGUAGUGGGAUUUCAGGCACCACCAUGCACAGCUAAUUUUUUCUAUUUUUGGUGGAGACAGGGUUUCUCCAUGUUGACCAGGAUGGUCUUGAUCUUUUGAUCUUGUGACCCGCCUCGGCCUCCCACAGUGCUAGAAUUACAGGCAUG